CUUUGAUAGUUAUUUGGAUGAUGAGAAUUUAAAUAAAUGAAAGCUUACUAGGCAUCCUGAAAAAUGGUGAACGGACCUGAUACAUAAAGAACCCUACCGUGGACUAAUACCUCAGUCCGACGGGGCUGAAAAGUCUCAUACUAGAAGGGUAUUAAGGCGAUGAUGUUUUUGGGUGCCCAUUACUGGACGGGUUAUGGGGAUGACUGGGUUAAUUGCCAAUUUUAAUACUAGGUCCACGAGUAGAGGGAUAUCUCUAUGAACCCCCAAGGGUCUUAGUAAGUAGGUUAAAAAAGAAAUAUUAUUGAUCCUAUGCAUGAAAUUGAAAUGCCAUUUGAUUUAUUGUCUUCAUAAGUUGAUUUUAGAUAAAAAAAAAUGUAACGGUAAGUAUCGAAUAAAAAGUUUUAAAGAUAAAUGUAUUUACUUAA
RNAcentral lists this long non-coding RNA (425 nucleotides) under Carica papaya (papaya). RNAcentral's name for it is "long non-coding RNA (CPAP_LNC013440)". Lineage: Eukaryota; Viridiplantae; Streptophyta; Magnoliopsida; Brassicales; Caricaceae. The record is from RNAcentral.